UGGGGAAUUUUGGACAAUGGGCGCAAGCCUGAUCCAGCCAUGCCGCGUGCGGGAAGAAGGCCUUCGGGUUGUAAACCGCUUUUGUCAGGGAAGAAAUCUUCUGAGUUAAUACCUCGGGAGGAUGACGGUACCUGAAGAAUAAGCACCGGCUAACUACGUGCCAGCAGCCGCGGUAAUACGUAGGGUGCAAGCGUUAAUCGGAAUUACUGGGCGUAAAGCGUGCGCAGGCGGUUUUGUAAGACAGAGGUGAAAUCCCGGCGUCAACCUGGGAACUGCCUUUGUGACUGCAAGGCUUGAGUGCGGCAGAGGGGGAUGGAAUUCCGCGUGUAGCAGUGAAAUGCGUAGAUAUGCGGAGGAACACCGAUGGCGAAGGCAAUCCCCUGGGCCUGCACUGACGCUCAUGCACGAAAAGCGUGGGGAGCAAAACAGGAUUAGAUACCCUGGUAGUCCACGCCCUAAACGAUGUCAACUGGUUGUUGGGAAGGUUCCUUCUCAGUAACGUAGCUAACGCGUGAAGUUGACCGCCUGGGAAGUACGGCCGCAAGGUUGAAACUCAAAUGAAUUGACGGGGUCAUAGCUGUUUCCUG
Molecule: ribosomal RNA, 587 nt
Filed under: uncultured bacterium
Lineage: Bacteria
Description: partial 16S ribosomal RNA
Rfam family: Bacterial small subunit ribosomal RNA
Source: RNAcentral